AUUGAACGCCGGCGGCAGGCUUAACACAUGCAAGUCGAGCGCCCCGCAAGGGGAGCGGCAGACGGGUGAGUAACGCGUGGGAAUCUACCCAUCUCUACGGAAUAACUCAGGGAAACUUGUGCUAAUACCGUAUACGCCCUUUUGGGGAAAGAUUUAUCGGAGAUGGAUGAGCCCGCGUUGGAUUAGCUAGUUGGUGGGGUAAAGGCCUACCAAGGCGACGAUCCAUAGCUGGUCUGAGAGGAUGAUCAGCCACAUUGGGACUGAGACACGGCCCAAACUCCUACGGGAGGCAGCAGUGGGGAAUAUUGGACAAUGGGCGCAAGCCUGAUCCAGCCAUGCCGCGUGAGUGAUGAAGGCCCUAGGGUUGUAAAGCUCUUUCACCGGAGAAGAUAAUGACGGUAUCCGGAGAAGAAGCCCCGGCUAACUUCGUGCCAGCAGCCGCCGUAA
Molecule: ribosomal RNA, 447 nt
Filed under: uncultured bacterium
Lineage: Bacteria
Description: partial 16S ribosomal RNA
Rfam family: Bacterial small subunit ribosomal RNA
Source: RNAcentral